UACGUAGGUGGCAAGCGUUGUCCGGAUUUACUGGGCGUAAAGAGCGCGCAGGCGGUCGUUCAAGUCGAGUGUGAAAGCCCCCGGCCCAACUGGGGAGGGUCACUCGAUACUGAUCGACUUGAAGGCAGGAGAGGGAAGCGGAAUUCCCGGUGUAGUGGUGAAAUGCGUAGAUAUCGGGAGGAACACCAGUGGCGAAGGCGGCUUCCUGGCCUGUUCUUGACGCUGAGGCGCGAAAGCUAGGGGAGCAAACGGG
Molecule: ribosomal RNA, 253 nt
Filed under: uncultured bacterium
Lineage: Bacteria
Description: partial 16S ribosomal RNA
Rfam family: Bacterial small subunit ribosomal RNA
Source: RNAcentral